GGGGUCGUGGGGUAGCUUGGUCUAGCCUCUCGGCUACAUGCCGGAGACCCGAGUUCAAAUCUCGGCGACCCCACCA
This 76-nucleotide transfer RNA is filed under the name Hadesarchaea archaeon DG-33-1. Its description in RNAcentral is "tRNA-Cys". It matches the Rfam family "tRNA". Rfam says of the family: Transfer RNA (tRNA) molecules are approximately 80 nucleotides in length. Their secondary structure includes four short double-helical elements and three loops (D, anti-codon, and T loops). Lineage: Archaea; Methanobacteriati; Hadarchaeota (SeqCode); Hadarchaeia (SeqCode). The record is from RNAcentral.